GCUGCUUGUCAGGAUCCCGGUUCGCUCACUUACGACACCGCUACCAAAACUGGAGGAACGGCAAUGACCAGAUUAGGUGAACAAUGCUGGGGUGUUCGGUGGAAAUUCAAUUGCUCUACUAAGAGUUGCAUUGGUUGACGCUGCUCGUCACGGACACGGCGUCACCGUCAGGGGCUAAUAUUGCUACGUGAGCAGUACCAUGAUCUCCGUUGUUACCCGGCGCGUGUUCCCCAUAAUGACGAGGAUCGUUCGAAGUUCUGUGAUCAUUUAUUCGUCGUCUCACCUCGUCGGCAAAAUUUCUGGAGUUGAUAAGUCAACGUAGGUGGGGUCUGCAAGUUCGGUACGCAAAGCGUACGCGUACUUGAAAGCCUCGAUGAUACGGUGAUGGGUCGUCAAAGUCGCCUGUGGGGUCGCCAUGCUUGAGGGACUGAAAUCGUAUCCAUCGAGGACGUUGAGAAUGAAGGCGAGGAUCGAACCGCUUCCGGGUGGUCCAAUAGUGUAAAGCGUUUCUCCAGUAGAAAGCCUCGUCGUUAUCGGUGAUAUCCAUUUGGCCCUGAUACGUAAAUCCUAAGGAUCAGCUAUGGCCUCGCUGUUCAUGCCGAGCGAGUCGUAUUGGACUUUGGUCAGAUUGUAGCCGGCCUCGCAGAUCUUGAUACUUGGCUCGAAGAGCUCGGCCCAAGGCAGUCGGCCGAAGCGUUGAUGGACGGUCCAGUAUCCAGCCAAUUCUCCGGGAACGGGAAUAGCCAGAGGACCUGGAUGUUACGGACGCAAGAAAAAUUCAAGGAUAGUUUCCAGGACAAGCAAAAUUCAAGGACAUUUCCAGGACCAUUGGACACCACGUUCCAUAAUCGUCACCAAGCAUUCGUCAAACAAUGCGGAGUAAGCGCGUACCAACUUUGACUUACCAAUCUGCGAUGCAAGAGCCGGGUGACCAUUGUAAGUGUCGGAAUCGGCAGCACGAGGUGCGCAUUCACGGGCGUCGAGGGUUGCUGCUUGUUGGCUCGACCUUUGAUAUAUUGUCAUCAGGAAACCACCACCGAACCCCAUGCUCUGCAUGUUUAUCAAACCGUUGCAGAUCAUCGCUGCUAUUGCUGCGUCCACUGCCGAUCCGUUUCGUUUUAUAAUCGACCUAUAGACAAAGAAUUUUGACUAAAAGAAUCUGAGAACUUUAGAUGUAUCCAUAUUCAUGUAUAAAAUAUACAUAUAAAGUAUGGAAUUAGAUGAAACGAAAAUGAUAUUUGAUCCUUGAACAUGCUACCUCAUCUUUCGUCUUGAGAACAAAAUUGCAAAUACAAGUAUAACGAUGAUAUACUUCUAAUGCAUUUUUCUAACGAAUGCUCACCUGCCUGUUACAGCGCAUUGCUGUCCAUCGACGCAAACAGCGCCACGUCGAAAAACUCUAAGCUUACUCCACGAAGGAGGCUGUUGAUCCAGUGGAUCAGGAGGAUGGAGUGUCGCGGUCUUUGGUGUCUGGAUUAGAGCUCGGUUCGCCCGGUUUCUUUGCCCCCGUAACGUCUUCCCCCCGCUGAUCGUAAUUUGCCAAUAACGAUAUCACGACUCAAGGGAUGUGGUGGGUAGGUAAUACGAGGUACGUAAGGAGGAUCCAGGGAUAGCUGUGAGGUGCACACGCGGUCGACUGUGUGAUAUAUUGAUUCGCGGUACCGAAUUGGACGAAUCGACCCCGUCUUCUUCACCAGCCAUACCAAUGCCCUACUUUUAUCACCGUAUACAUACGGAUGAAUGUAUUUACCAUAGGAAUCGCUGUCUGAUGACAAAAACAGUGAACAGCAAAAAGAUGAAAGGAUUUUGCUGGCCGUUGUUCAUUUUCCUGGGGUUUACCACCGAACGCGAUAAAUUUGGCACUGAAACCUCGAUGUCUGCAGUUAUACAAUAAAAUAUUUUCGAACGUGUAAACCGUACAUGUGAGUAUCUUCAUAUCAGACAUUCUAGAAAAUUUGUGGUUUGGAAUAAUCAUUUUCGUGUAAUCGCAGUAGUUUCGAAAAGUACAUUUUCACGAUCAAAUCAUGCCUGCGUACUUCUGUUCACGUUACGAUGGGAUAUUAAGCUUCGACUCUUUGGCUAAUCACUUCCGUCGAGCUUUAUCAUCAGGAUUUCGUGGCUGUGGCCUUGGAUAAUUGAAACCUGCACACGUAGGGGAAUUGCUUUGUUAAUGUGCGCCUGGGUCUAUAUUCGGAUAACAGACGUAUAAACGUAUAUAUUUGGAACCCUGAAAUAUCGUGGAUUAGUGAAUAAUUGAUCUGCCGAGCUGGACGGGUCAGGGCUCGUAUUCCUCUGCGUGAAUUGAGUGUAAAACGACGAGAAGAACCCAGAUAUUCUACGCAAUUUGCAGUCGGG
Molecule: long non-coding RNA, 2355 nt
Filed under: Neodiprion lecontei (redheaded pine sawfly)
Lineage: Eukaryota; Metazoa; Arthropoda; Insecta; Hymenoptera; Diprionidae
Description: uncharacterized LOC124294457, transcript variant X2
Source: RNAcentral